This is a long non-coding RNA of Gavialis gangeticus (Gharial), 2526 nucleotides long. RefSeq lists it as uncharacterized. NCBI's taxonomy places the organism in Eukaryota, Metazoa, Chordata, Crocodylia, Gavialidae. The record is from RefSeq and is a predicted model, not a curated record. The transcript is spliced from 2 exons.
AGGAGAACUGAACGCAGGCUCCUUUGACUCUAGAGUCUAUGCCUGGCCAUCACUGUGUCCUCCAGAGAGUGAUACAGAGGCAGCAGUAAUGCAGCCCUUCCCAUAACAAGAUUUAAGCAGGUGCUUACCCACCCCUGCUGGCCCAGAGGAUUACACAUAUACACAUGGAUGAGUCUAUGGAGACUGUAUUGUUUUUCCAUAUGGGCUGAAAACCCCAAACCCACAGCAUGGAGCACAAUAGAGUGAAAGGCUUAACAGAAGCUGGAAGAGAAGGUACACGUUAUCACAACUACCACAAAAGGAUAAACUGACACCAUGAAUUGCUGCACAGCAGCAUCCUUUUUGUAAGGCUGGUAAUUUCUGACACCAAACAUCACUGAGAAUGUCUUAAUUAGUGUUUAUGUUGAUGGCUGUGUAGGUUUGAGGUGACGUGUCUCUGAGUUUGCAGCAGGGGAGAGGGGGCAGAGCGAAGGGAACAAAAGCAGAUUUUUUGAUUUGCUGCCCAGAACCACAAAAAUGUCUUUUAAAGAAUCACUCCCUCCUCCAAACAGACUGGGGGGAGAGAUGAAGGAAGAGAGAUUGAAAGAUAGUAAAUUGGAGGAAGGGAGAGAGGGGCAAGGAUGGGGGAAGGUGAGACACACAUGCACAGCUAUUUGCAUGUUUUAUUGGGUCUUUGAUUUCAAUGUAUUUACAACCUUAAAGCUAACACCCCAGUGGGAAGUUCUGAAGAUUACUGUAUUUGCAAUCUCUUUAGCUUCAGGUCUGUAUCAAAAGACCUGUCUGUCUCACUUCCAGCCAGGCCUUUAGCAAGCUGUAUCUAGGUUAUGUACCAGCCUGAUCUAGAGGAGACACUAAACCAAGACCUCACCAGCCCUCUGGGAGUGACUCAGGUGAAAAAUAAACAACCAUUGCCAUAUCUCUUUUCAGAAAGAGUGAGGGUCCCCUUUUUACAGUCCUGCAACAAUGAAAGUCAGGUUCUAACAUCCACAGUUACCUCUAACCCUGCUUUACUCCCUCCAGGACACUGUUACGUCCUCCUUUAGGUCUUCCCAGAGGCCUGGCCCUUUGCUUGUAUGCGUCUUUAUGUAUAAUCACCUCUCUAAGAAUCAGGUGAUGAUUUUAAAGGCACUACAUAGUACAUACACAUAAAAUGUGUGAAACUGUAGUGUCCACAGCUUUCCAGAAUACAAUGCGUUUUCCUCCCAAAUCACUGACCCAGGAUUAACAUAGAUCUUGCUGGGAUACCUUGAAUCCCUUAGUGAGAACCUACUUUCAUUCCUGUCUAAAAUGCAUUUUCCUUGGGGUAGCUCAUUCCUUUGUUUUCUCCCAGCUUUAAAGAUCUUGCUGGAGCAUUUCUGUGGUCAGACUGGAUGGUUUCCGGGAGAGCUCAAGGUUUUCUGUGUCUCACCCUGUUUACCACAGGAAAUGGGGAAAUGUGAGACAGAUAUAUACAUUUCUAAAAUGGGCAUUAUGACAGAGAUUCUGACUGGCUGCUGAGGGUUCCUACUGUGCACGUAUACUGUAAGAUCCCCAACUUCCCAGGGUCAAAUUUCUGCCAGCCCUAACAAAAUACACAAUGUUCAGCUACAUUUUUCAUAGUCGGUGGAGAUGUGAUGUGUAAUGUGCCACACCCCAGAUCCCACUUACACACUCUCCAGUCUCCACAUUAUUUAACAUCCAUGUGAGAGGUAGGUAGAUCCCGGUCUUUACACACAAGAAUGCUGUGGUUACUGAACUGCCCAUCUCUCUCAGCUUCCCCCGCCCAAAUCGCUCCAUGUUCCUAUGAUUCUCCUCUUCCUCUUUCUUGCUCUUCCUCCUUGUCUGCCUUCCCUUUUCAUCUCUGUGAGCUGUACACUGUUAAAUGGUGAGGCUGUGAUUUCAGCCAGUGCAGUGUUGAGCUAGGGACAUUAUCUGAGGGGGCAUCAACUCCCCUUUUCAGCCUCUACCCCAUUUCAAGUCGUUUGCCUCCUGGACUCCUAUGGUGCAAAAUUACUCUUCUUCUAGCUAAAUGGAUCAGAGAGACUCAUAUAUAGUGACUGGGACUAUGGCAUAGGUAGAUAAUGAAGGUCAACUGUUUUUUUGUUAGGCUUUCAGGGUACCAAACUCUAUCUAACUAUCAAGUUCCAUAAGCCCCAGUUUUGAAAGCAUGACUUCUAGCGAUUGCAUUUCUGCUGGAAGAAACCCUCUUUUAGAGGUAUUUCAAGAUCCAGCAAGAAUUUGUCACAUUAUGGAAAAGAGCCUGCCAUCAAUACACUGCUGUUCACUGGUCAAAGAGCCACUGACCCGCACAGGUUUAAGUGGCAGCAUCAUUCCAAAACCCAUUCACUCACCCCAAUUAGCACUCUGGAGAAAGGAGAUAAUGAGUGCUCUUCCAAAUGCCCUUUUCAGCAUGGUUGGUCAGUGUGAAUCUCAUAACCUCCUUCCAAAAGUCAACCAGUACCCAUAAUUCACCCAGUAUUUUCACUUCCUCUGACUUUGCUAAGUUGUGGCUAGGGAAGAAUAAAUCAUCUGAAGAAUUUGGUCUUA